Molecule: ribosomal RNA, 416 nt
Filed under: uncultured Methanosaeta sp.
Lineage: Archaea; Methanobacteriati; Methanobacteriota; Methanomicrobia; Methanotrichales; Methanotrichaceae
Description: bacterial SSU rRNA
Rfam family: Archaeal small subunit ribosomal RNA
Source: RNAcentral
UACUUACCGGGACCGACAGCAAUAUGAAGGCCAGGCUGAAGACUUUGCCGGAGUUAGCUGAGAGGUGGUGCAUGGCCGUCGUCAGUUCGUACUGUGAAGCAUCCUGUUAAGUCAGGCAACGAGCGAGACUCACGCCCACAGUUGCCAGCGUACUCUCUGGAGUGACGGGUACACUGUGGGGACCGCCGCUGCUAAAGCGGAGGAAGGAAUGGGCAACGGUAGGUCAGUAUGCCCCGAAUAUCCCGGGCUACACGCGAGCUACAAUGGUUGGUACAAUGGGUAUCUACCCCGAAAGGGGACGGGAAUCUCCUAAAACCAAUCUUAGUUCGGAUUGAGGGCUGCAACUCGCCCUCAUGAAGCUGGAAUCCGUAGUAAUCGCGUUUCAACAGAACGCGGUGAAUACGUCCCUGCUCCUU